This 429-nucleotide ribosomal RNA is filed under the name Chloroflexota bacterium. RNAcentral's name for it is "Chloroflexi bacterium partial 16S ribosomal RNA". It matches the Rfam family "Bacterial small subunit ribosomal RNA", at positions 355 to 776 of the family's 1533-position model. Lineage: Bacteria; Bacillati; Chloroflexota. The record is from RNAcentral.
UGGGGAAUAUUGCACAAUGGGCGCAAGCCUGAUGCAGCCAUGCCGCAUGUGUGAAGAAGGCCUUCGGGUUGUAAAGCACUUUCAGCGGGGAGGAAGGCGUUAAGGUUAAUAACCUUGGCGAUUGACGUUACCCGCAGAAGAAGCACCGGCUAACUCCGUGCCAGCAGCCGCGGUAAUACGUAGGUGGCAAGCGUUGUCCGGAUUUAUUGGGCGUAAAGCGAGCGCAGGCGGUUUCUUAAGUCUGAUGUGAAAGCCCCCGGCUCAACCGGGGAGGGUCAUUGGAAACUGGGAGACUUGAGUGCAGAAGAGGAGAGUGGAAUUCCAUGUGUAGCGGUGAAAUGCGUAGAUAUAUGGAGGAACACCAGUGGCGAAGGCGGCUCUCUGGUCUGUAACUGACGCUGAGGCUCGAAAGCGUGGGGAGCAAACAGG